CAGAGACCAAAAAAGAAAACCGGAUUCUGUUGGUGGAGAUUAAAUGUAAAAUGGCGUCCAUAGAGAGUGAUGUUAUGUUCACGAAGUAAAGUUUAUUUUCCCUCCAGCUUCGGUCGUCAGUCAACUUUGCAGAACAUUAUCAUCCAGAAACACAGGUGUGAAUGACUCUGAAGCAACACCUUGACAUGGAACAUGACUCGUUAUCAGGAAGGUGUCCCAGGGGCUGAGUCAUACUAGUCCUUUCUAUUUUGGUUUCCAUUUGUAUCGUCUCCUCACCUCUCCUCUCCUGUUAAUGUUUAUACAAGCUCCAUUACUCAACUGAACAUUUGUCAUUUUAUGUUUCCAAGCAGCAAGGCAGACAAAAACACCCCCAUAGUUCAUUGUGGCAGCUGCCUAUAAUUUUUCCGAUGAUUGAAUAAGGAUAGGUUCCUCUCCAAUCAACCACAGUGCCAAAGACAUGUUAUUUCUCAACAUUCAUCAGUGUUGGUGAUUUUGCCUAUGAAGCAACCGCAGAUACAAGUGGCCAGACAUUGGUGAGGCAACAGUUACAGCAAAUAUUUAUUUGAGAUGCAAACCGCAUGCCUCCUUCCUGUGAUUUGUGUUGUUUGUGUCGUGUUCUUGUGUCUGGUUUUGUCUUGUGUUUUCUUGUAUUUGAUUUCCAUGUUUUUGUAUCAUAUCUUGUGUCUCAUGUUUUCUUUUUCCAUGCCCUCAUGUGUCCUUUAAGUUCCCCUGUGUAUAUCCCUUGUCGAAUUUCCAUGCCCCUCUUCUGUCUCUGGUCCUUUAAUGUUUUUUCCUCUGUCUCCCUCUGUCUGUAGUUUUGUUUCCCUCCAUGUUUCUCCUCUGUGCUUCCACCGCUCAUUAACACACCUGGCCUCCUCCC
This is a long non-coding RNA of Acanthopagrus latus (yellowfin seabream), 880 nucleotides long. RefSeq lists it as uncharacterized. The transcript has 3 exons. The record is from RefSeq and is a predicted model, not a curated record. Lineage: Eukaryota; Metazoa; Chordata; Actinopteri; Spariformes; Sparidae.